CUGACAUGGUUGAUGUAGAUUUACUAAAGUUCAAUCGGCAGUCAUCCUUUCCCUCCUUGGUUUAUGGCAUCAAUGCUUUGUUUGUCAAACCUGCUCAGUCUUUGGUUCCCACGAUGAUACUCUCUAGGCUAAACCAGCAUGGAUAUGGGAACCCAAACAGCAGUGUACUUCCAAGUCUUCACGAUGCUAUGUUUGGUUUGAUUUGCCUGGUCCCGCUGGGCACUGCGAUAAUUCAGAUUCUGGUGUGGAGCCUGUUCUCAACCAGAAACAAGACAGGCUACAUAGGGACUUUUUAAAGCCAACACUGGCUGUUACGGGAUUCAAAUAAAACUUCAGAUGUUUGCCUGUUCUUCUACGGUUGACAUUGUACUGGAAAGCAAACUUGUUCUUUAUAAGCC
Molecule: long non-coding RNA, 398 nt
Filed under: Microcebus murinus (gray mouse lemur)
Lineage: Eukaryota; Metazoa; Chordata; Mammalia; Primates; Cheirogaleidae
Description: lncRNA (ENSMICG00000048356.1)
Source: RNAcentral